RNAcentral lists this ribosomal RNA (253 nucleotides) under uncultured bacterium. RNAcentral describes it as "partial 16S ribosomal RNA". It matches the Rfam family "Bacterial small subunit ribosomal RNA", at positions 524 to 776 of the family's 1533-position model. The record is from RNAcentral.
UACAGAGGCCCCAAGCGUUACUGAGAAUCACUGGGUUUAAAGGGUGCGUAGGUGGCGCGUUAAGUCCGUUGUGAAAGCCCUGGGCUCAACCCAGGGACUGCUUCGGAUACUGGCGCGCUUGAGGCUAGUAGGGGUCACUGGAACUGACGGUGGAGCGGUGAAAUGCGUAGAUAUCGUCAGGAACGCCAAUGGUGAAGACAGGUGACUGGGCUAGUUCUGACACUGAGGCACGAAAGCGUGGGGAGCGAACGGG